GACGAACGCUGGCGGCGCGCCUAACACAUGCAAGUCGAACGAGAGAUGAAGAGCUUGCUCUUCAAAUCGAGUGGCGAACGGGUGAGUAACGCGUGAGGAACCUGCCUCAAAGAGGGGGACAACAGUUGGAAACGACUGCUAAUACCGCAUAAGCCCACGGCUCGGCAUCGAGCAGAGGGAAAAGGAGCAAUCCGCUUUGAGAUGGCCUCGCGUCCGAUUAGCUAGUUGGUGAGGUAACGGCCCACCAAGGCAACGAUCGGUAGCCGGACUGAGAGGUUGAACGGCCACAUUGGGACUGAGACACGGCCCAGACUCCUACGGGAGGCAGCAGUGGGGAAUAUUGCACAAUGGGGGAAACCCUGAUGCAGCGACGCCGCGUGAAGGAAGAAGGCUUUCGGGUUGUAAACUUCUUUUAAGUGGGAAGAGUAGAAGACGGUACCACUUGAAUAAGCCACGGCUAACUACGUG
This 468-nucleotide ribosomal RNA is filed under the name uncultured bacterium. RNAcentral describes it as "bacterial SSU rRNA". It matches the Rfam family "Bacterial small subunit ribosomal RNA", at positions 28 to 507 of the family's 1533-position model. The record is from RNAcentral.